UAUAUCUAUUUAGAUCCAUUACAUGAAGAAGCAUGAAGUUGAAACAGUAAAGCCUCCUGCAUAUAAUGCAGUUAUAUAUGCCUAAAAGAGAAACGCAAAGUUACUGUCACUGAAGACAAUAACAAUACUUGCCUAAAAACUUCAGAUAACUAUUACUUUGCUGUCAGUGCCAUGCAAAGCACAAAAUGGAAGUACUUGGUGACCAUUAUAUGCAGACAAGAUCAGGUGUUGAUGCAGCAAGUGAUAUUGAAUCUGAUGAGCAAUAGGUUCUUAAAAGCUGAAGAACUUAAAGAUAGUACACCAGCAUCCAGGCCAACUCAAAGUCAAAAAUCAUGGAACAAAAGACGACGUUAUAUGAUGCAUUUGUUGUACCAUUUAGGAAAAUGUUUGACACCAUUGCAAAAGCCUAUGCAGAUAAUUCUCAUAAAGAGAGAG
RNAcentral lists this unclassified non-coding RNA (435 nucleotides) under Hevea brasiliensis (rubber tree). The record is from RNAcentral. Lineage: Eukaryota; Viridiplantae; Streptophyta; Magnoliopsida; Malpighiales; Euphorbiaceae.